This 263-nucleotide ribosomal RNA is filed under the name uncultured Actinomycetes bacterium. RNAcentral describes it as "uncultured actinobacterium partial 16S ribosomal RNA". It matches the Rfam family "Bacterial small subunit ribosomal RNA", at positions 28 to 276 of the family's 1533-position model. Lineage: Bacteria; Bacillati; Actinomycetota; Actinomycetes. The record is from RNAcentral.
GACGAACGCUGGCGGCGUGCUUAACACAUGCAAGUCGAACGCGCUUGGCCUUUUUUGGGUUGGGUGAGUGGCGAACGGGUGAGUAACACGUGGGUGACCUGCCUUGAGCUCUGGGAUAAGCCUGGGAAACUGGGUCUAAUACUGGAUAUGACCAAUUCUUGCAUGGGGGUUGGUGGAAAGUUUUGUUCUUUGUUGGACAUUUCGGCUCGAGAUGGGCCCGCGGCCUAUCAGCUUGUUGGUGGGGUGAUGGCUUACCAAGCCUA